This 496-nucleotide ribosomal RNA is filed under the name uncultured bacterium. RNAcentral's name for it is "bacterial SSU rRNA". It matches the Rfam family "Bacterial small subunit ribosomal RNA", at positions 56 to 527 of the family's 1533-position model. The record is from RNAcentral.
UGCAGUCGAACGAGAAGUUUCCUUCGGGAAACGAGUACAGUGGCGAACGGGUGAGUAACGCGUGGGAAAUCUGCCCUUUAAUGGGGGAUAACAGUUCUAACGAGCUGCUAAUACCGCAUAAGAUCCUUAGAUCGCAUGAUCCGGGGAUGAAAGAUGGCCUCUACAUGUAAGCUGUCGUUGAAGGAUGAUCCCGCGUCCCAUUAGCUUGUUGGUGGGGUAAAAGCCUACCAAGGCGACGAUGGGUAGCCGGCCUGAGAGGGUGUCCGGCCACACUGGGACUGAGAUACGGCCCAGACUCCUACGGGAGGCAGCAGUCGAGAAGCUUCCGCAAUGGGGGAAACCCUGACGGAGCGACGCCGCGUGAGUGAAGAAGGCCCUCUGGGUUGUAAAGCUCUGUCAGAUUGGGAAGAAAACUCUGCGGGUAAUAUCCGUAGAGCUUGACGGUACCAUCAGAGGAAGCACCGGCUAACUCCGUGCCAGCAGCCGCGGUAAUACG